GCCAGCAGCCAUAUCACAACUGGCAACUCACUGAAGCUAAGCAGGUGUGAGCCUGGCCAGUACCUGGAUGGGAGACAUCCUGGAAAAAACUAAGGUUGCUGCUGGAA
Molecule: ribosomal RNA, 107 nt
Filed under: Lepisosteus oculatus (spotted gar)
Lineage: Eukaryota; Metazoa; Chordata; Actinopteri; Semionotiformes; Lepisosteidae
Source: RNAcentral